CCUGAUGGGUAGUUUAACUCGGGGGGUUGCCUCCUAAAAUGUAACGGAGGCGCUCCAAGGUUCCCUCAGCCUGGUUGGCAAUCAGGUGGCGAGUGUAAGUGCACAAGGGAGCUUGACUGUGAGACAGACAUGUCGAGCAGGGACGAAAGUCGUAACUAGUGAUCUGGCCACGGCAUGUGGAAGCGUGGUCACUCAACGGAUAAAAGGUACCCCGGGGAUAACAGGCUGAUCUUCCCCAAGAGUCCAUAUCGACGGGAUGGUUUGGCACCUCGAUGUCGGCUCGUCGCAUCCUGGGGCUGGAGUCGGUCCCAAGGGUUGGGCUGUUCGCCCAUUAAAGCGGCACGCGAGCUGGGUUUAGAACGUCGUGAGACAGUUCGGUCCCUAUCCGCCGCGCGCGCAGGAAACUUGAGAAAGGCUGUCCCUAGUACGAGAGGACCGGGAUGGACGAACCUCUGGUGUGCCAGUUGUUCUGCCAAGAGCACGGCUGGUUGGCUACGUUCGGAAGUGAUAACCGCUGAAUGCAUCUAAGCGGGAAGCACGUUUCAAGAUGAGGUUUCCCACCCGCUUGACGGGGUAAGG
This 579-nucleotide ribosomal RNA is filed under the name Aplanochytrium stocchinoi. RNAcentral's name for it is "partial Bacterial large subunit ribosomal RNA". It matches the Rfam family "Bacterial large subunit ribosomal RNA", at positions 2257 to 2833 of the family's 2925-position model. Lineage: Eukaryota; Bigyra; Thraustochytrida; Thraustochytriidae. The record is from RNAcentral.